This 260-nucleotide ribosomal RNA is filed under the name uncultured Actinomycetales bacterium. RNAcentral's name for it is "partial 16S ribosomal RNA". It matches the Rfam family "Bacterial small subunit ribosomal RNA", at positions 524 to 782 of the family's 1533-position model. Lineage: Bacteria; Bacillati; Actinomycetota; Actinomycetes; Actinomycetales. The record is from RNAcentral.
UACGUAGGGUGCGAGCGUUGUCCGGAAUUACUGGGCGUAAAGGGCUCGUAGGUGGUUUGUCGCGUCGUCUGUGAAAUUCCGGGGCUUAACUCCGGGCGUGCAGGCGAUUCGGGCAUAACUUGAGUACUGUAGGGGUAACUGGAAUUCCUGGUGUGGCGGUGAAAUACGCAGAUAUCAGGAGGAACACCGAUGGCGAAGGCAGGUUACUGGGCAGUUACUGACGCUGAGGAGCGAAAGCAUGGGUAGCGAACAGGAUUAGA